Molecule: non-coding RNA, 53 nt
Organism: Heterocephalus glaber (naked mole-rat)
Lineage: Eukaryota; Metazoa; Chordata; Mammalia; Rodentia; Bathyergidae
Source: Rfam
UUGCUGGGCUAAGAAGGAGGCUGUUAUUAUGGUCUUCAUUUUAUUAUUAAACA